GUUGGUUUUCCAUGAGGCACUUGUUCAUGACAACGAGAAAUUAAAGAACUCUAAUAAAUGAUACUUUCGUCAUAAGAAAAAUGCAUUUGCAACAAAAAAAAUAGAAGUUAAAGGACACGUUAAUUGGACUAAUGUGCUUUUAUCUGUAAUCAUUGAAGAGUGCCACAAUGAAAUUGAGCGUCUAAUCUCUAAUGCACAAACAUUUUUUUGGCCUAGUCCCUUUGAAGAUUCUUACAUUAUUGAAAUUUCUUGUAAGCUGCCCUUUGAACUUGUGAGAUAUUCAUUAUGUCCAAAAGCUAUGAGCCAUUAUUUAGUUUUGCUGGUGGUGAAGAUUUAUCUUUCACUUUCUUGAGAUCCCGUCAUCUUUGAGCUCAUAUACUCUCUAUUCUCCUUGCAUCAGAUUUGGGUAUUCUUCCAAUGCAGUUAUGUUAAGAAAUGGUGGUGUUGUUCUCUCGUGUAACCGAUGUUUUUUGAUUUGCAUCUCUAUUGCAUCGGGACCAUGAAAGUUGUUCUCUCCUACCCCCACCUCCCGUUACUGUUGUUAUUCGUGAUAUGUUCAUCCUUUCCUCAUGGGGAGGUUGGACCAUUCCUUGCAAAGCUAAUUGGAAAACAGUUCCAGUUUUUUUGAAUCGUUUGGCUUGAACAAUGUUCAAUGUCUUCUAGUAGUUAUAUACCUGUUUGUACUUGUUGAAAAAGGUAGUAUGGGGCAUGACGAUUUUCUUUAACCAGUAUGUAAUUCUGGUGGUGUUUGGGUUUGUUCUUGUGCCUUUGCGGGGUAAUUCUUGGUGAAUCUGAUCUGCAUUAAACCUUGCU
This 813-nucleotide long non-coding RNA is filed under the name Olea europaea subsp. europaea. Lineage: Eukaryota; Viridiplantae; Streptophyta; Magnoliopsida; Lamiales; Oleaceae. The record is from RNAcentral.